RNAcentral lists this long non-coding RNA (1161 nucleotides) under Chrysemys picta bellii (western painted turtle). RNAcentral describes it as "lncRNA (ENSCPBG00000023612.1)". Lineage: Eukaryota; Metazoa; Chordata; Testudines; Emydidae. The record is from RNAcentral.
CAUUAGCUCUAUCGGUCGCAUCUCCUCUGGCUACACAGAUGUGUGAAUGCUACAGAGAGAGACGGGCCAUUUUGACACACAAAUGAGUGUCAGCUGUUUGUCCCCUUGCAGCUGCUGAGCGAAAUGCUCCCCAACAAAGCAGAGAGAAAUGAUGCAAACUGAGGACUUGCUCCAUGUCCUUAAGAGAUGGGGACGGGGGGAGAAGGUGCUGAGAAAGACAGUGGUGUGUGUACAGGGUGAUUGUCAUGGUUACCUCUCUCUCUCUGACAAAACAAAUGGCACCACUUAAUGAUGGUCACCCAAACAGCUAUGGAAAAGUGUGUGUUAAUCAACUGGCUGCCAGCGGAGCUGGGUCCCUGCUAUGUGAAGCAGAAGCCUUCCCAGGAUCACAGACAGCCCCCAGGAGCUGGAGGGGAACGGUAGAGCUUUCGCAGAGGGACACAUGUUGCUGCAGCUUGCAGGAGACAAAAGGAGGCUGAAGCGGUGCUUGCUGCCGCCUCCCGGCUUGUCCGGGCUUUCUGGGCAGCCGCUCGCCCCAGCAGCCGGGCUCGGACCAUGGCAGGAGCCGGCAGGCGCGUGUGAAGUUGAUCCCGGCCUCCCCACCCCUCCUCCCGCCAGCCAAGGGCAGGUGAUUCAGCCUCCUUCCUCCCCGACCUGGCAGAUCUCACUUCCCCAAUGUCCUGACUGGCCUUUGCUAUCUGGAGACGGUGUGUCUGGGUGCAUUUAAUAACACAGAGUUGGCCAGGAAAUGCGAGGUAAAUCGAUGUCUUUCCCUGCGGCUGGCUCCCCCUUGCUCACAGAGAGCGUUGUGUAAAUCAUCCAGAGCCAGCCAAGGAGCGGUGCGGCUGCAGCUAUCCCUGGGAAUUCCUGCCCGAGAGCGAGUGUGGGGAGUUCGGGACGGAAAGGUACCCGCAAGAUCCUUCUCUGAAUUCCUCUGCCAGUCAGGCUGACAGACAUGUUGGGAGAAGAUUAGCUAAAGCGGAGGUUAGGCUGGCAGCGAGAACUGUUGCAAGGAAAAUUUAACUAACAGAAGCAUUAGAGGCAACAACUUUAAGUAUGAACAGCUCUGCUAAGGAGGCAAUGAACUGAGUCAUACUUUGCAGGCGUGAUGUGGAGACAGGGGGAGUGUGGAAGAGGAGUCAUUGCAUUUGCCUUGAAAUG